GGCAUGCUGGAGGUAUCAGAAGUGCGAAUGCUGACAUAAGUAACGAUAAAGCGGGUGAAAAGCCCGCUCGCCGGAAGACCAAGGGUUCCUGUCCAACGUUAAUCGGGGCAGGGUGAGUCGACCCCUAAGGCGAGGCCGAAAGGCGUAGUCGAUGGGAAACGGGUUAAUAUUCCCGUACUUGGUGUUACUGCGAAGGGGGGACGGAGAAGGCUAUGUUGGCCGGGCGACGGUUGUCCCGGUUUAAGCGUGUAGGUGUGUGUUCCAGGUAAAUCCGGUUCACUUUAACACUGAGGCGUGACGACGAGGCACUACGGUGCUGAAGCAACAAAUGCCCUGCUUCCAGGAAAAGCCUCUAAGCAUCAGGUAACAUCAAAUCGUACCCCAAACCGACACAGGUGGUCAGGUAGAGAAUACCAAGGCGCUUGAGAGAACUCGGGUGAAGGAACUAGGCAAAAUGGUGCCGUAACUUCGGGAGAAGGCACGCUGACACGUAGGUGAAGUGAUUUACUCAUGGAGCUGAA
RNAcentral lists this ribosomal RNA (521 nucleotides) under Salmonella enterica subsp. enterica serovar Stanley. RNAcentral's name for it is "partial 23S ribosomal RNA". It matches the Rfam family "Bacterial large subunit ribosomal RNA", at positions 1267 to 1781 of the family's 2925-position model. The record is from RNAcentral. Lineage: Bacteria; Pseudomonadati; Pseudomonadota; Gammaproteobacteria; Enterobacterales; Enterobacteriaceae.